Molecule: ribosomal RNA, 292 nt
Filed under: uncultured bacterium
Lineage: Bacteria
Description: partial 16S ribosomal RNA
Rfam family: Bacterial small subunit ribosomal RNA
Source: RNAcentral
GUGCCAGCCGCCGCGGUAAAACGUAGGAGGCGAGCGUUAUCCGGAUUUACUGGGCGUAAAGCGCACGCAGGCGGCUUGGUGAGUCGGACGUGAAAGCUCCUGGCUUAACUGGGAGAGGUCGUUCGAUACUGCCGGGCUUGAGGUUGGGAGAGGGGUGUGGAAUUCCCGGUGUAGUGGUGGAAUGCGUAGAUAUCGGGAGGAACACCAGUGGCGAAAGCGGCACCCUGGCCCACACCUGACGCUGAGGUGCGAAAGCGUGGGUAGCAAACAGGAUUAGAUACCCUGGUAGUCC